Long non-coding RNA from Columba livia (rock pigeon), 883 nucleotides. RefSeq lists it as uncharacterized. The record is from RefSeq and is a predicted model, not a curated record. The transcript is spliced from 4 exons. Lineage: Eukaryota; Metazoa; Chordata; Aves; Columbiformes; Columbidae.
AAGGCUGAAACAUGUUAUUUAAAACAUCCCGGGGUUUGAUGAACAGGCAGAGGGGCUGGGGCAGGGUCCAGCUCGGCUGGGGCAGCUGCUGGGCCAGCCUGGCCGUCCCACCGCUGUUCUUGUCAAUUCGGGGAGCUGCCGAGCCUGGGGGGGCAGGUUGCUGUGAAUUUAGAAAAAAAUUCAUCGCCCAAGUCCCCAGGCCAAGUUGAAAAUGAGCAAACAAACAAGAAAAAAAAGGGGAAAAAAAAUCCUUGCAAACUGGAAACCCUGCUUUUCAAGCCAGCUGUUCUCAAGAGUGAUUAAAACAAAACAAGAUCUCUGUAUUUGAAACCAAGAUUUAACAGGAAAAUCGGUCAGGAAAGAAUCUUCUCCAGCCUGAACAGUGCAACUGUGAUCAAACAGAAGAUUCAGCGAGCAGCAGAUUUUGUCUGUGUGCGUGCACGUGUGUGCUCGCACAUGUGUGUGCAUGAACUCAGAGUACAAAAAUCACAGAAAUGCAAAGCUGGCAUACAGCGAGGGCUGUUGGAAACGUUGCACGUUGAAAGACAAAAGCUGAUGUGUUCCCUAUGAAAAUGUUCUUGGCUCUGCAUUUAUUUCACCCAAGGUGUGCCUUUCUGUAUGCAUCUGGAAAGGUGAGUUAUCCAAUUUGCAGAUUAAACCAGACUCUGCCGUCUCCAGGAACACCCCUUGCUGCUCAGAAACAGAAAUAACAGAAUGUGACUUGUGGCCAAUCAUGUGAUGAAAAACUAAACAACACGAACCUCCUCCUGGACCGUCUGUGGAGAAAUCACAGGACACACUUUGUUUGUACAAGCUGUUUGAUGAAUCGUUGUGAACAAAUAGACUUGAAUCAGGCGAUUUAAAAUAAAAAUGGGUUAAAUUA